ACCUGAAAUAAGUGAACAUGCUCAAAUCGAUCUGC
This 35-nucleotide small RNA is filed under the name Bombyx mori (domestic silkworm). RNAcentral's name for it is "ovarian small RNA-4410". The record is from RNAcentral. Lineage: Eukaryota; Metazoa; Arthropoda; Insecta; Lepidoptera; Bombycidae.